This 500-nucleotide ribosomal RNA is filed under the name uncultured bacterium. Its description in RNAcentral is "partial 16S ribosomal RNA". It matches the Rfam family "Bacterial small subunit ribosomal RNA", at positions 30 to 523 of the family's 1533-position model. The record is from RNAcentral.
AUUGAACGCUGGCGGAAUGCUUUACACACGCAAGUCGAACGGCAGCACGGACUUCGGUCUGGUGGCGAGUGGCGAACGGGUGAGUAAUGUAUCGGAACGUGCCCAGUCGUGGGGGAUAACGUAGUGAAAAUUACGCUAAUACCGCAUACGAUCUAUGGAUGAAAGCGGGGGAUCGCAAGACCUCGCGCGAUUGGAGCGGCCGAUAUCAGAUUAGGUAGUUGGUGGGGUAAAGGCCCACCAAGCCAACGAUCUGUAGCUGGUCUGAGAGGACGACCAGCCACACUGGAACUGAGACACGGUCCAGACUCCUACGGGAGGCAGCAGUGGGGAAUUUUGGACAAUGGGCGAAAGCCUGAUCCAGCCGUUCCGCGUGCAGGAUGAAGGCCCUCGGGUUGUAAACUGCUUUUGUACAGAACGAAAAGGUUUCUACUAAUACUAGGAGCUCAUGACGGUACUGUAAGAAUAAGCACCGGCUAACUACGUGCCAGCAGCCGCAGUAA